GGAGAGGUGGCAGAGUGGUUGAUUGCACAGGUCUUGAAAACCUGCAUCACCGCAAGGUGAUCGGGGGUUCGAAUCCCCCCCUCUCCG
Molecule: transfer RNA, 87 nt
Filed under: Pseudomonadota bacterium
Lineage: Bacteria; Pseudomonadati; Pseudomonadota
Also listed under: 1 other name
Description: tRNA-Ser
Rfam family: tRNA
About the family: Transfer RNA (tRNA) molecules are approximately 80 nucleotides in length. Their secondary structure includes four short double-helical elements and three loops (D, anti-codon, and T loops).
Source: RNAcentral